UAGAGUGAUUAGAGCAAAGCUCCAGCAGGCAAG
This 33-nucleotide non-coding RNA is filed under the name Mus musculus (house mouse). Lineage: Eukaryota; Metazoa; Chordata; Mammalia; Rodentia; Muridae. The record is from RNAcentral.